UUGGGUACAUCCGUCAGUAAAAACCAUUAUAAAUCCUAAAAUAUUGUUCGUCUAAUUACUUUUUCCGCUGAAAUUUGGAGACCAUGUAUUUAAAAUGGCUACCCUCAUACACUGUCCAUAAAAGAUGGAUAGAAACAUUCUCUAAACAGAAGUUGGUAAUAACCUCAGGUCUUUAUUUUAAAUCCACUGUGCUUGUGUACAGAGCAAAAACAAUAAAAUAUGUUGGCCCUAAUAAUUUCUAGCAAAAGGAAAGUGUUGUUUCCCCUUGUUUUUGUUUUGUAAUACUGUUAUUCAGUCUCAAUAAAGUGCCUUAUCUGUUUUGUAAUUUCAUAGCCUCAAAUGAUAAUUAUUUUUUAUUACAGGUAUGGUCAGAAAUUGACCAUGCAUCUCCAACCAGCGAAUGUGUACCACCACUGGAAAGAGUGUAUUUGUUGCCUUCCUUCACAACAUGGACACAGAUUCCAGCUCUGCAGAAGAUGGGAAUGUGUCCCACUCCAAUUCCAAGCUGGGCCCAGAAUCACAUCCAGUCACUUAAACAGCAGAAGAUUCUGUGAUACCCUCACCAACAGACACACAGGUAUGGUCAGAAAUUGACCAUGCAUCUCCAACCAGCGAAUGUGUACCACCACUGGAAAGAGUGUAUUUGUUGCCUUCCUUCACAACAUGGACUAGGGUUAGGGUUCUUAACAUGAACGACACCGAAAUGGACCAACUUGCUGAUAUCCUGGGACAUGAUAUUCGUAUCCACAGGAAAUAUUACAGAUUACCCGAGGGAACACUAUUAACAGGAGUGCGUUGAGCCUGAUCCUGGGAUAGAGAGUGAAACCGAACUGUCAGAUCAUUCUCAUGACGUGAUGUCAAGUGAGCCAGCAGGCACUUCAGGAGUGAAUAGCAGCAGGCCAGUAAACACGAAUGAAGGAUCUCCAGAGAGGUCACGGGAGGUCAUGAAAGUAACAUCAGUUCCUAGGAAGAGAAAGUGGAGUGAAGUGGAGAUUGCAGCUGUAGAAGAGACAAUGAUGAAAUGUAUUCACUCGGGAGUUACUCCUGGAAAAGUCGACUACAUUGCAUGCAUUACAGCAGCCCCCAAAGCCCUCGGUGAACGAGACUGGCAGGCGGUGAAGUAUUAUA
Molecule: long non-coding RNA, 1128 nt
Organism: Carassius auratus (goldfish)
Lineage: Eukaryota; Metazoa; Chordata; Actinopteri; Cypriniformes; Cyprinidae
Exons: 9
Source: RefSeq, a predicted model, not a curated record